This is a transfer RNA of Sclerotinia sclerotiorum, 106 nucleotides long. It matches the Rfam family "tRNA". From Rfam's summary of the family: Transfer RNA (tRNA) molecules are approximately 80 nucleotides in length. Their secondary structure includes four short double-helical elements and three loops (D, anti-codon, and T loops). Further hydrogen bonds mediate the characteristic L-shaped molecular structure. tRNAs have two regions of fundamental functional importance: the anti-codon, which is responsible for specific mRNA codon recognition, and the 3' end, to which the tRNAs corresponding amino acid is attached (by aminoacyl-tRNA synthetases). tRNAs cope with the degeneracy of the genetic code in two manners: having more than one tRNA (with a specific anti-codon) for a particular amino acid; and 'wobble' base-pairing, i.e. permitting non-standard base-pairing at the 3rd anti-codon position. The record is from Rfam. NCBI's taxonomy places the organism in Eukaryota, Fungi, Ascomycota, Leotiomycetes, Helotiales, Sclerotiniaceae.
GGGGCUGUAACUCAGUGGUAGAGUGCCUCGUUUGCAUCUUCAAGAUUCCGAAAGGAUUCCUUGAUUCCCAUCGAUGAAGUCCAGGGUUCGACUCCCUGCCGCUCCA